RNAcentral lists this long non-coding RNA (619 nucleotides) under Malus domestica (apple). RNAcentral describes it as "long non-coding RNA (MDOM_LNC017117)". The record is from RNAcentral. Lineage: Eukaryota; Viridiplantae; Streptophyta; Magnoliopsida; Rosales; Rosaceae.
CUAAACGUUCCUGAUCAUAGGAUUGCCAAUUGGGCAUUGACAGUCCGUUAAGAUCAGUACGUGCUGUGUCUUAUCUCAGGAAGAGUGACUAGUCUCGAGUCAUUGGUGUGUAUGACAUCAAGACAAGUACAUAGGUGCUCAAUGGAGAAUGAGUUCACUGAACACGAUCAACAAAGAGUUCUCAUACUCAUGUCACAUGAGAACUCAUGGUUGGGAUAAUGCAAAGUAGUCCUUUGACCUGAGGCAUCAUAGUUGUCUUGUGGUUAGGUCCUUGAUCUUUGAUUAUGUCAAAGUCACCCCAUCCGCGGUUGUCCACGGCAUCAUCAGGGUUAAGCCACUUAACCAUGGAGGCAAGUGAAUGCGCAACAAGGGAUCUCUAACCUUCAAACCGUUUGGGGGAGAAUACUCUAUGAUAUGAUUAAGAAUCUCUGGCCAGAGUAUGAAUGAGAUUUAGGAAGUCGUUCCAAAUCACAUUCAAGGUAAUUAUAUAAGCACACGAAUCACAUUGGAUAGUAGACAUGAAUAAACUAUCAAACCAAACAAUGUGGUCAACAAUAUUGUAUUAGAGAAAGACCGUAUUGCAUUUGUAAUCCUAAACUGAAUAGGUUCUCCACCUCUU